Molecule: ribosomal RNA, 425 nt
Filed under: uncultured bacterium
Lineage: Bacteria
Description: bacterial SSU rRNA
Rfam family: Bacterial small subunit ribosomal RNA
Source: RNAcentral
CGCAAGCCUGAUGCAGCCAUGCCGCGUGUAUGAAGAAGGCCUUCGGGUUGUAAAGUACUUUCAGCAGUGAGGAAGGUGGGUAUGUUAAUAGCAUACUCAUUUGACGUUAGCUGCAGAAGAAGCACCGGCUAACUCCGUGCCAGCAGCCGCGGUAAUACGGAGGGUGCGAGCGUUAAUCGGAAUUACUGGGCGUAAAGCGCAUGCAGGUGGUUUGUUAAGUCAGAUGUGAAAGCCCGGGGCUCAACCUCGGAAUUGCAUUUGAAAACUGGCAAACUAGAGUACUGUAGAGGGGGUAGAAUUUCAGGUGUAGCGGUGAAAUGCGUAGAGAUCUGAAGGAAUACCGGUGGCGAAGGCGGCCCCCUGGACAGAUACUGACACUCAGAUGCGAAAGCGUGGGGAGCAAACAGGAUUAGAUACCCUGGUAG